GGGGAAUAUUGGACAAUGGGCGAAAGCCUGAUCCAGCCAUGCCGCGUGAGUGAUGAAGGCCUUAGGGUUGUAAAGCUCUUUUGUCAGGGAAGAUAAUGACGGUACCUGAAGAAUAAGCACCGGCUAACUUCGUGCCAGCAGCCGCGGUAAUACGAAGGGUGCUAGCGUUGUUCGGAAUCACUGGGCGUAAAGCGCGCGUAGGCGGCUUAUCAAGUCAGAGGUGAAAGCCUGGAGCUUAACUCCAGAACUGCCUUUGAAACUGUUAAGCUGGAGUGUCGGAGGGGAUAGCGGAAUUGCUAAUGUAGAGGUGAAAUUCGUAGAUAUUAGCAGGAACACCGGUGGCGAAGGCGGCUAUCUGGACGACAACUGACGCUGAGGCGCGAAAGCGUGGGGAUCAAAC
This 400-nucleotide ribosomal RNA is filed under the name uncultured bacterium. Its description in RNAcentral is "bacterial SSU rRNA". It matches the Rfam family "Bacterial small subunit ribosomal RNA", at positions 356 to 773 of the family's 1533-position model. The record is from RNAcentral.